GAAUGCUGACAUAAGUAACGAUAAAGCGGGUGAAAAGCCCGCUCGCCGGAAGACCAAGGGUUCCUGUCCAACGUUAAUCGGGGCAGGGUGAGUCGACCCCUAAGGCGAGGCCGAAAGGCGUAGUCGAUGGGAAACGGGUUAAUAUUCCCGUACUUGGUGUUACUGCGAAGGGGGGACGGAGAAGGCUAUGUUGGCCGGGCGACGGUUGUCCCGGUUUAAGCGUGUAGGUGUGUGUUCCAGGUAAAUCCGGUUCACUUUAACACUGAGGCGUGAUGACGAGGCACUACGGUGCUGAAGCAACAAAUGCCCUGCUUCCAGGAAAAGCCUCUAAGCAUCAGGUAACAUCAAAUCGUACCCCAAACCGACACAGGUGGUCAGGUAGAGAAUACCAAGGCGCUUGAGAGAACUCGGGUGAAGGAACUAGGCAAAAUGGUGCCGUAACUUCGGGAGAAGGCACGCUGACAUGUAGGUGAAGUGAUUUACUCAUGGAGCUGAAGUCAGUCGAAGAUACCAGCUGGCUGCAACUGUUUAUUAAAAACACAGCACUGUGCAAACACGAAAGUGGACGUAUACGGUGUGACGCCUGCCCGGUGCCGGAAGGUUAAUUGAUGGGGUCAGCGCAAGCGAAGCUCCUGAUCGAAGCCCCGGUAAACGGCGGCCGUAACUAUAACGGUCCUAAGGUAGCGAAAUUCCUUGUCGGGUAAGUUCCGACCUGCACGAAUGGCGUAAUGAUGGCCAGGCUGUCUCCACCCGAGACUCAGUGAAAUUGAACUCGCUGUGAAGAUGCAGUGUACCCGCGGCAAGACGGAAAGACCCCGUGAACCUUUACUAUAGCUUGACACUGAACAUUGAGCCUUGAUGUGUAGGAUAGGUGGGAGGCUUUGAAGUGUGGACGCCAGUCUGCAUGGAGCCGACCUUGAAAUACCACCCUUUAAUGUUUGAUGUUCUAACGUGGACCCGUGAUCCGGGUUGCGGACAGUGUCUGGUGGGUAGUUUGACUGGGGCGGUCUCCUCCUAAAGAGUAACGGAGGAGCACGAAGGUUGGCUAAUCCUGGUCGGACAUCAGGAGGUUAGUGCAAUGGCAUAAGCCAGCUUGACUGCGAGCGUGACGGCGCGAGCAGGUGCGAAAGCAGGUCAUAGUGAUCCGGUGGUUCUGAAUGGAAGGGCCAUCGCUCAACGGAUAAAAGGUACUCCGGGGAUAACAGGCUGAUACCGCCCAAGAGUUCAUAUCGACGGCGGUGUUUGGCACCUCGAUGUCGGCUCAUCACAUCCUGGGGCUGAAGUAGGUCCCAAGGGUAUGGCUGUUCGCCAUUUAAAGUGGUACGCGAGCUGGGUUUAGAACGUCGUGAGACAGUUCGGUCCCUAUCUGCCGUGGGCGCUGGAGAACUGAGGGGGGCUGCUCCUAGUACGAGAGGACCGGAGUGGACGCAUCACUGGUGUUCGGGUUGUCAUGCCAAUGGCACUGCCCGGUAGCUAAAUGCGGAAGAGAUAAGUGCUGAAAGCAUCUAAGCACGAAACUUGCCCCGAGAUGAGUUCUCCCUGAGACUUUAGGUCUCCUGAAGGAACGUUGAAGACGACGACGUUGAUAGGCCGGGUGUGUAAGCGCAGCGAUGCGUUGAGCUAACCGGUACUAAUGAACCGUGAGGCUUAACCUUACAACGCCGAAG
RNAcentral lists this ribosomal RNA (1667 nucleotides) under Salmonella enterica. Its description in RNAcentral is "partial 23S ribosomal RNA". It matches the Rfam family "Bacterial large subunit ribosomal RNA", at positions 1292 to 2925 of the family's 2925-position model. The record is from RNAcentral. Lineage: Bacteria; Pseudomonadati; Pseudomonadota; Gammaproteobacteria; Enterobacterales; Enterobacteriaceae.